Molecule: ribosomal RNA, 337 nt
Filed under: Amaricoccus sp. HAR-UPW-R2A-40
Lineage: Bacteria; Pseudomonadati; Pseudomonadota; Alphaproteobacteria; Rhodobacterales; Paracoccaceae
Description: Bacterial large subunit ribosomal RNA
Rfam family: Bacterial large subunit ribosomal RNA
Source: Rfam by way of RNAcentral
GUCCUUGAGAUAUCACCCUUGCCUUGCCUGAUGUCUAACCGCGGACCGUCAUCCGGUUCCGGGACCCUGUGUGGCGGGUAGUUUGACUGGGGCGGUCGCCUCCCAAAAAGUAACGGAGGCGCGCGAUGGUGGGCUCAGGUUGGUCGGAAAUCGAACCGUCGAGUGCAAUGGCAUAAGCCCGCCUGACUGCGAGACUGACAAGUCGAGCAGAGACGAAAGUCGGCCAUAGUGAUCCGGAUGGUCCCGCGUGGAAGGGCCAUCGCUCAACGGAUAAAAGGUACGCCGGGGAUAACAGGCUGAUACGUGCCCAAGAGUCCAUAUCGACGGCAGUGUUUGG